Helianthus annuus (common sunflower) is the source of this 3518-nucleotide long non-coding RNA. RefSeq lists it as uncharacterized. Lineage: Eukaryota; Viridiplantae; Streptophyta; Magnoliopsida; Asterales; Asteraceae. The record is from RefSeq and is a predicted model, not a curated record. The transcript has 8 exons.
GAUUCAUCUUCAGCCAUCCAUUUCUUUCACCUUUUCACACGGAUUGUGAUCUGAACGGUUGAUAUUCAGCUCACACGGAUCAAGGGUUACUUUCAUUUGAUUUACUCUCACAAAACUUCAUCAACCCUUUCUCUCUCUCUGGCGACUCAUGAACAUAUCUUGUUAAAAUCCUCUGAUUAGGGUUCCGGCAGUGGGAUUCUCGAGCAGAUUGGUGGCAGACGAGCAUCUGGCUGUAGAUGGUGUUUGCAGAUCUGUUAUAAUACUUGCCUACUAAAUCGCAUGAUGGCAGUGGCGAGUUCUAGGGUUUCGGCGGCUACAGGCUUAUAGUUACUCGCCAAGAGUCCAAUCGGUGGUCAAAUCUGUCUCGCAAGGCCCAGAUCCAUGAAUAAAUGUUUAACAGAAUAUAGGGUUUUGAUGUCUGGACCACCAGGUUAAAAACGGAGAUCAAAGUUGAUUUGAGUCCUUUAACGAUUUCAGAUCUCCAUUGACCCUCACCCUAGAUUCGGUUUGACUGAUGCACAUAUUCACCAUUGAAGGGCAUGAUGAACUGGGUUCGAUAGGAGUUUGAAGGGUUAUUUUGAACCCAAAACUCAAAAAUAAGAGCAACAAAUCAACAAUUGCUGGUAUUUCGUUGAGUUAUAAUGCAGUUAUUUGAGAAGGCCAUCAAGGGUUCUGAAGUUCAAUGGAACUCGAAUAAAUAAUAUUCACCAUCUUGCUCAUCUUGUUGAUUGGAAAGCCGCCUGAUUGGCAGUCUUUUGUGGGUAUUAUCACUCUGCUCAUAAUCAAUAACAAAGUUAGUUUCAUUGAAGCAAAGAAAGCUGGUAAUGUAGCAGCUCGCAAGGCCAGUCUUGCCCCAGGUAUCCUAUCCUUUGUUCUUCAUAAUGUAAAAAGUGCAAACAUGGUUAAAUCGAGGCGAUUGCGAUUGCUACUAGGGUUUAUAUGUUCUUUAGGAGAGUUGCUUAUAUUGUUGAUAGCACAAAUCAAGCUGGUCACUUUCAAAAACUAAACAUGAAAAAGAAUCAAACCAAUUAUUUUGUUUCAUUGGUGUACGUUUCGAAUCUUGCACACAACAAACAGACAUAGAACGCCAGUUCAAGGCGUCAUUGAUUAAUCUGCAGACUGCGGAUUAAGGUCACUUGCUGUAGCGUACCAGAAAGUUCUAGAGGAGCAUUAGGCGAGUCCUGGAGGACCGUGGCAAAUCGUUGGGCUAAUGCUGCUCUUUGAUCUGCCACAUCAUGACAAUGCUGCAACUACAUGUUAUGUGGUGUUACAUCCACAAGUCAAAGGGGCCAGUGAUGGGUAUCAAUUACGACACACAGGUGGAUCUUUGAGUAAUGUGCUGCUAAUAGAUGAACUAAAUCCUUAGACAUAACUUAGACUGUGGAGUAUGGGGCUUGGGCAAGGUUUAAAAAAACGGAAACGAGUUUCGAGGCGUUUUCCCUUCGCCUCACGAGGCGUAAGCCUUGAGGCGAACCGAGGCGUAAGCCCGAGGCGGAGUUAAAAAAUAAAUAUAAAUAUUAUAUAUCUUAUAAAAAUAGUAAUAGUAACUAAAUUCAUCAUCAAAUUCAUCAAAAUAAUCAAAAACACACAUAAAAAAGACAUACAUUGCUUGAAAUUGACACAAAAACUCAAAAACAUCAAAAACAUAUAUCAAAAACCCCUGAGGCGCACCUGAGGCACAGCCUUUUUAGCACCUCAGCCCCUCUGAGGCGCACAUACAGUAUACACCCCCUGAGGCGCGCCUCAGAAUCGUUUUUCGGCCGUUUCGCCUUGAGGCGCGCCUCGAGGCGCACACCUCAGCCGUUUUUUAAAACCAUGGGCUUGGGUUUGAAGCUGGGCGUGGGGCGGGCUUGAGAUCCGAUGUGGCGGCCUCCUAUUCGCUGUCCACCGCCAUGUCAUGGCGGGUGUUUGCAAUUUUUUUUAAUAAACUGCCAAGCCACGCCCCCAACCCAAGCCCCGCCAUACCCCACGGACACGUCACUCACCGGUGGAAGGGCUCCAACUCCACGUGUCAACUCAUGCCCCCAACCCAACCCAAGCCCCACCAUACCCCACGGUCUUAAUGCUCAAAUUGUUAGUAGGUUGAGUGGUCACAUUUCCCUAAGACUUUCUGUUUUCACCAAGAAUUCCUAACCUGCAUUGUAUACUGAAAAAAAAAAAGAAUUCAAGCAUUUCAAUCAGAUGGUAACAGAAGAAGAUAAUCCUCCUUUAAUAGAGAUUAAUGCUCAAAUUGUUAGUAGGUUGAUGUAACAGAAGAAGAUAAUCCUCCUUUAAUAGAGAUUAACGAAGCUUCCAUUUUCAAGUAAAGCUUUCAAAAUUGUUUUACGCCAUCAUCUAGAAUAUGCUAUUUCUUUAUCAGGCUGUAUAAUCUAAAUUUUCUUUUACCUUCAGGCCUAUGUCAGUAAAAGCGCGCAUGGGUUGAGUGGUUGAAUUGAUUCCAAAACGUUUGUUUGAUAUUGUGUGGUCUUUCGUUUGGUUUACUCAUGAACUGCAAAGAAAUGGUUGUUUGGUUUACUUACGAACUGAUUCCGAAAUGGUUGUUUGAUAUUGUGUUGGCUGCUUCAUUUUGGUUUUGUGCCGCUGUUCAUUUUGGUUAAUUAGCAUGGGAAUACUUAUAGAUGUUGAUUAUUGUGAUCACUUUGAAGUUUUUCUUUAUUAUUACCAUUUAAUAAUGGGUCAUUAUGAUGAUUUUAGAAUCGAGUUGCCAAAAAUAUGCCUGGCCAAUUGCUGCAUUUUGGUCAACGGCUGCAUUUUAAUUUGAUGUUGCUGGUGUUUUUGGUUUAUCCUUUAUGGUCAAUAGCUUAAAUGGGUUUUAUAAACUAUUCAAUUUACCUUUUGGAUCCAUAUGCGAAAAAACAAACCUUUGAACGAAAUUCACAAAAGUGAGAUGCUAUUUAUGUGUAGGUGUCACAGAACAUGCAAAUUCUCUUUCAUAUGCUGAUGCUGUAAUUGGUACGUAAUUGGUACGUCGGGCACUAAUAUUAGUUAUAUUUGACGAGCCAGUGGUGCAACCAUUGCUAUACAAGAAACAAGAGGUGUUCCUGAUGAAAUGACUGUUGAGAUUAACGGUUCAGCUUCACAAGUUCAGACAGCUCAGCAGUUGAUACAGAAUUUUGUUGCUGAAGCGGCAACUGCAACUCAGAAUUCAACUGCUCAGCCACCUGCCCAAGGAAGCUAUAACCCUUACUCGGGUCAUGCUCCUGCUUACCCGUCUCAACCACCUCCUGUCGCCCAUGCACCGCCACCUGCUGCUGACUAUGGUGGAUCUGUGUAUGGAGGGAAUAACGGGUAUUAAAGUGUGUGGUGACUGAAUAACCUUGUAAAGUUAUCUUUAUGUUUGGAGGGAGCAAGGGUAAUGUUGUAACGAGUAAUAGCUAGGUCUUUUGUCGUUUAUCUUUUUAGAACUUGAAACGUUGCGGCUUGCUUGGCCUCUCACUUCUCAGUUUAUGCAAAAUUGUGUUCUGGAUGAUGUUUUCGGAUCUAAUUAAGGUUUUACUUCAUAUCUAGAUUUACUAUUA